This 73-nucleotide transfer RNA is filed under the name Felis catus (domestic cat). It matches the Rfam family "tRNA". From Rfam's summary of the family: Transfer RNA (tRNA) molecules are approximately 80 nucleotides in length. Lineage: Eukaryota; Metazoa; Chordata; Mammalia; Carnivora; Felidae. The record is from Rfam by way of RNAcentral.
GUCCGGCUGGCUCAGUCGGUGGAGCAUGUGACUCUUGAUCUUGGGGUCGUGAGUUCAAGCCCCACAUUGGACG